RNAcentral lists this ribosomal RNA (305 nucleotides) under uncultured bacterium. RNAcentral describes it as "bacterial SSU rRNA". It matches the Rfam family "Bacterial small subunit ribosomal RNA", at positions 338 to 660 of the family's 1533-position model. The record is from RNAcentral.
CCUACGGGGCGCAGCAGUGGGGGAUAUUGCACAAUGGGGGAAACCCUGAUGCAGCGACGCCGCGUGAGGGAAGACGGUUUUCGGAUUGUAAACCUCUGUCUUUGGGGACGAAUUGAGACGGUACCCAAGGAGGAAGCUCCGGCUAACUACGUGCCAGCAGCCGCGGUAAUACGUAGGGAGCAAGCGUUGUCCGGAAUUACUGGGUGUAAAGGGAGCGUAGGCGGGAUAGUAAGUUGAUUGUUAAAACUAUCGGCUCAACUGGUAGAUGCGAUCAAAACUGCAAUUCUUGAGUGAAGUAGAGGCAG